CCAAUGUGGAUACCCUCAGGUCACUCUCCCCGGAGCUCUGUUCAGGUGGCGCAGAGGACAGGCCUCUGCCCCGUGAUGUAUGCUCCCUUUCCACAAUGGUGGAGAGAAAGCCGGGCCUCCUACAGCUUCUCAGAGUCCUGUGGACAAUGACUGUGGAGACAAACCAUGCAGGAAACAUCU
Molecule: small nucleolar RNA, 180 nt
Filed under: Myotis brandtii (Brandt's bat)
Lineage: Eukaryota; Metazoa; Chordata; Mammalia; Chiroptera; Vespertilionidae
Description: Small nucleolar RNA SNORA73 family
Rfam family: Small nucleolar RNA SNORA73 family
About the family: U17 (SNORA73A and SNORA73B) also known as E1 belongs to the H/ACA class of small nucleolar RNAs (snoRNAs).
Source: Rfam by way of RNAcentral